Molecule: long non-coding RNA, 1611 nt
Filed under: Oryza brachyantha (malo sina)
Lineage: Eukaryota; Viridiplantae; Streptophyta; Magnoliopsida; Poales; Poaceae
Description: long non-coding RNA (OBRA_LNC000297)
Source: RNAcentral
CGCUUCACCUUCUUCCUAUGCUAUUCGCCUUCCUUCGCUGGUCGCUCCAUCACCCCAGUGGAACCAUCACAUCUGCCGCCUCUUGUCGAUCUGGCGUGUUGCAUUCGCACACGUGAUGCGACACAAGGACACGAUAGGUAAUCCCCUUCUCUGCUCUUGAUCAACAAAUUUGGCCUCGUUUAGUUUCCAAGAAAUUUUUCUAAAAACAUCAUAUCAAAUUUUUGGACAUCUAAAUAAAGCAUUAAACAUAGAUGAACCAAAAAAAACUAAUUGCACAGUUAUGGAAGAAAUCUUAAGACGAAUCUUUUGAGCCCAAUUAGUCCAUUAUUAGACAUAAGUGCUACAGUAACCAACAUAUGCUAAUGACUGAUUAAUUAGGUUCAAAAAUUCGUCUCGCGGUUUCUAGGCUAGCCGUGAAAUUCGUUUUUCCAUUCGUGUCCGAAAACCCCUUUCGACAUCCGAUCAAACGUUCGAUGUGAUAUUUUUGCCAAAAAAUUUUGGCAACUAGACACCACCAAGUCUCCAGAUGAUGUGUCAUGCAUGCUUGCAGUACUAUUUUAAGUUUCCAAUCUGCUGGUUAAGAGGAUCCGUCUACACAUGCAUCUACAUGGUCGCUUGAUUCAUGAAGUGUCUAGCCUGGUUUCCUGUGUUGCUUGAUAUAUCUCCCUACGAUCCAUCGUCAAUACAUGCAUAUACGAUAUGUGUACUGUUCCAGAUCCAACAAAUUUCUAAUGUCACUUCAGUUUAUUUGAUUAGAUAUUUUUGUGUUUACAUAAUUACCACACACAUGCUUUCUAAAGAAAACUAGAUGCAAGGUUGCAUAUACUUAUAUAAAAGAUAUAAAUUGGAAGGAUCAAUGUUUACAAUACAACUAUAUAUAGUUUAAAUUAUAUGGAUUAUGAUGUAAAUUAGCCAAUUUUUAUGAAUAAUACAAAUACAUUUGUAAUAGGAUUCAUGGUUAACCAUUAUUAACGUUCUUGUAGUAGAAGGCCAGGAACUGGGGAGAGGGAAGGCCAGGGACACGAACGGCUGGGCCGGGAACCAUAGCGAGAGGAGGUCAUGGUCAGGACCCGGGGGGAGGGGAGGCCGGGGACUCGGAUAGCAGGGCUGGGACCCAGGGGAGAGGAGGCCGGGGACUCGGACUUAUUAUAUGAUGCACUUUAUUUCAGUUGUAUUUGAUGCAUCUAAGGCAUAUGUUUCAUUCUUACUUUUAGCUAGAACAGUCUAGCUUCUUACCGUACAACUUUUCUCUCCUAUUUGCUAUGAGGUUUUUGGCAAUUAGGCAAAAUACUUGCAUAUCAGUGUUUUAAGUAGGAAAAUACCUUUCAUCGUAGCACCAAUAUAAGUUUUACUUUUAGCUAUGCCUGGUAAAUGCACUUGGCUUUGUACUUAUGGUGGUCCAGCAAUGACAACGUUAAUUAGUAGCCACAGAUGGAGAAUAAGAAAUCUAAAUCAAUCCAUGUCUGUUAUGUUACCUCCUACUUUGGAUUGAUGGUCCCUUGUGUUCUUCCAUCACACAUGUAGGUUUAACGGGCUUCUACAAUUUGAAAUAUGUAAGAAAUGAUAUGUAAAACUGUUUGUCUCUGUGAUCUAUUACAACGGAAUUUUGUU